CACUUGUGUACACAAUUGGCCCCUCAGUUAGUCGAAGAGUUUUCUAGGAAACAAAAUAAUUGUUUGUUAUCUCACUAGUUGCAUGAGAUGGAUCAUGACACAUAACAUCCAUCACAUUAAAAAUAGAUACAUAUGCAAAUUUAGUCACAAGUUCUUACUGUACCUUUUGCAGUCAAUGGAGUGGUCAAUUGAUCUUGUAAUGUAAGGGAGAUUUACACCGCACUUGCUUGGAAGCCCAGCUGCGAGAUCAACGUUAUGACCGUUAGAAAAUCAGCUGUGAGGCCCUGGUGAGCAAUGUCGUUGUCCUGAUGGGUCACCAGAGGUCUGCGCCAGUCGGUACUGCCCCGCCAUUUCCGACUUAGGAAACGCACGGCAUCAGCAAGGAAUUCUUGAAACCGAGCAUUGUCAUCGCCCACCAACGAAAAAAGAAGAAUUUACAAAGAAAUAGCACAAACAUCCGAACAUGGAGAACAAGGAGAAGCAUCUCAAUAUCGAGCAUCUCAAUAUCAAGGAGAAAGAGCUCAAGAUGAAGGCCAACCAUCUCAAGAUCAAGGGCGAAAAUAUGAA
This is a long non-coding RNA of Humulus lupulus (European hop), 567 nucleotides long. RefSeq lists it as uncharacterized. The record is from RefSeq and is a predicted model, not a curated record. NCBI's taxonomy places the organism in Eukaryota, Viridiplantae, Streptophyta, Magnoliopsida, Rosales, Cannabaceae. The transcript is spliced from 3 exons.